GUCUACAGCCAUGCCAUCCUGAACAAGCCUGAUGUCUUUUCUUGGAAGCUAAGCAGGGUCGGGCCUUGUUAGUACUUAGAUGGGAGACCACCUAGGAAGACCAGGUGCUAUAGGCA
This 116-nucleotide ribosomal RNA is filed under the name Pteropus alecto (black flying fox). The record is from RNAcentral. Lineage: Eukaryota; Metazoa; Chordata; Mammalia; Chiroptera; Pteropodidae.